This 853-nucleotide long non-coding RNA is filed under the name Homo sapiens (human). RNAcentral's name for it is "HSALNT0370366". Lineage: Eukaryota; Metazoa; Chordata; Mammalia; Primates; Hominidae. The record is from RNAcentral.
UCACCCUAGGAAUGUGCACAGGGGGCAGCUGCCGGUGGAGGGUGUUUGGUAUGAGGGAGACAGGCUCAUGGGGAAAUGCAGCUGGCCCUCCCGCACUGGGGCCCCAGCGCUGACAGGGGACGGCGUAGGACGGGGAUCCCUUGGGCUAGGAGGGCGAGAACUGCUGCGCCAUCAGGUGGCAGCUUUGGGGUCAGCACCCUCGAGAUGUCCUGCCCUUUCUCCAGCGGAAUUGGGAAGAGCCCCUCAAGGGCUAAACAGAUUCUGACGGGGUCUCUUGUGGUGGGGAGGACAGGUGGAGAGAGACAUGCUUCCCUUAUAACCCAGCAAUCCUGUUCCAUGUAUUUGCCCAAGAGAAAUGAAAACUUCUGGGUGGAUGUUUAUUCACCCAUAACCUGCUGCUAGGAAAAAUGGCUGCCAGGGGUCCUGUAAAGCAAAGCUUGCUUGGAGAAUGGGCGAAGAUGUAUGUAUGGAGGAGCUGAGACACUCAAAGGAUUAACCCCCUGGCCCAGGUCACCGACUUGUCGUGGAGUUCAUUGGAAUGUGAUGGGAAGGAGGAGAAGAAGGAGAAGGUGAUGGAGAGUCUCCUGGAGGCAGCUGAAUUUUUGGCAUGGCCGAGAAGACCUGGGGUGGACCCUUGACCCGCAUUGGGCCCACUCUUGCUUCUCUCCCGGGAACUAAGACUUAGGAUUUAUGAAUGCUGGUCUGUCUGUGCAGGAAUGGUGUGUGAGGGUAUGUAAGCUAGGGAACUGAGUGGUGACAUCUGCCCUGGACACUGGGAGGACAUUUGGGAAAGAUGGAGCAGCAAGUAGAGAGAGAAGCAGAGAUGGGGGAGCAAUUCAAGGGGAGAGUGAGA